RNAcentral lists this long non-coding RNA (434 nucleotides) under Pongo abelii (Sumatran orangutan). Its description in RNAcentral is "lincRNA". Lineage: Eukaryota; Metazoa; Chordata; Mammalia; Primates; Hominidae. The record is from RNAcentral.
GCAAGGGCCAGCCACCCAUGGCAUCAUUUUAAAUUUGUGACUUCAGUCCCACAUAGCCUGAGCUUUUUCAUGGUAAUCUAAGGAAUGAGGACCUUCUUGGGAAUACAAGUGAUCCAGAGUUUUAACAGAGAAAAAACAAUCACAUACCUUGGGAAUCCCAACUCUCAUGCUCCGUCAACAGGUCUAUGGGCCAUGCUUGAGCACUCUGCCGUGUGGUAGAGAAUGCUGGCUGGCAGGUUCCUGGGGCAGGAUUAUGGGGCUGGAGUACUGGGGAGCUAGCUCUCUGAGGUCCAGUGGCACAGCCAUUCACACCACAGGGAGUGGGAAGGUGACCUGGGCAUUUGGAAAACAAUUCCUUGAGCACGGUACAAGGAUUGGAUGGUUCUGCCACCAGGCAGAGCAGAAGUCAGUGUUGGACAUGCCCCGGAAGCUGG